UGGACUGAAUUUGAGCAGAAGAAAAGAAUUAGGAACUCAGUGCUGGUGGACUGACAAGUGAGGAGCUUGAUAAAUGGCUGUAUAUAUUUGUGUUUCACUGUGAGAAUGGUGUUUACUAUGGUUUAUUGCAUGUGUACUUGAAUAAACCCUGCCCUCAAGUUGGGUUCUUAAUGGACACUGAGAGAAACUAUAUUCUUUUCAUGGAGAGACCAAGAGGAAACAGAGGGGUACAUGUACAGCAGUUUUCCAGGGCCUCAACUCAUCUAUAUAUUUCUCUGCUUCUACAACAGUCUACAUAAAAAGCACUAAAAAGUCAGUACAAACUGCAAUUUCAUACCAUGAUUUCUUUCUAAUGCUCUACACUGAAAUGAAAACCUCCACUACCUCUUCAUGAAGUAUAAAAACACACUUUAAAGUGCAUCCCCUAGAAAGCCAUUGGACUCAAGUGUGGAAAAACAGAACUUUGUAUUCACUGCCUAUUUUGUUGUAGAGCUCUCCAAAGAGAUGACUAUUCAGAGGAUAUACUUUAAUGUAGUUGACCACUCAUCAUCCACCAGAGCAUUAAGGCACAUUGGUAAUGUCUUUACUGCUAGAGUUUGAUAUUGAAUUCCACAAUGAGCGACAGUCACAUCAGGUGAUAUGCACUUUAUUUUCUGCUGAAAGCCAGACCAUGCAGCCUUCAUGACUGGAACACCAUUUGUGCAGAUAGAACAAAGAUUUUCCUACUCAAGUUCAUUGCCUUUUGAAAAGGCAUUCACUUUAUUGGAAAUGGCCUAUGCUGUUGAGGUUGUUUCAAGUUGUUCACAGAACAAAACACAUCCUUCACAUCCCUGGCAUUAACCUACCACACAAACACUAUCAAUUUUGCACAGUUAGUAAUGUUAGUAGUUUCAUUAAGUCGCAGGCUGAGUAUACUGAAAGCAGAGUGUUUAAUUUUGUGCAUGACUUAGUUUUUGAUAUUUUCAGUCAUCUCACACAUUCUGCAUUUCACAGUGUCAUUCAACAUAGAAGGUAUAUUAAGCUUUUGGUGGCAUCUUGCCAAGCAUAAGUGACACUGUAUCUUUGCAUGGUGAUAGAACAAGUUCCUCAUCUUUUGUAGGUAGUAUUUUGGUACAGGCGAUUUGUGGUGACAUAACAUAGGAGGCUUUUAUUUGCAUCAAAUUUGACUUUGUUGUUUCUUCACUGCAUUUGAAAAAUCCACAUUGAGAUAUUGCUGCAGUUUGCAUGACUUCUUUGAUCCAGUGGACAAAAUAUGGCAAAUGGCAAAUGAUGCAUUAAAAUUUUUC
Pelodiscus sinensis (Chinese soft-shelled turtle) is the source of this 1286-nucleotide non-coding RNA. The record is from RefSeq and is a predicted model, not a curated record. NCBI's taxonomy places the organism in Eukaryota, Metazoa, Chordata, Testudines, Trionychidae.